AUUGAACGCUGGCGGCAGGCUUAACACAUGCAAGUCGAGCGGAGACUUCGGUCUUAGCGGCGAACGGGUGAGUAAUACCUAGGAAUCUGCCUAUUAGUGGGGGAUAACGAAUCGAAAGGUUCGCUAAUACCGCAUACGUCCUACGGGAGAAAGUGGGGGGAUCUUCGGACCUCACGUUAUUGGAGCGGCCGAUAUCGGAUUAGCUAGUUGGUGGGGUAAAGGCCUACCAAGGCGACGAUCCGUAGCUGGUCUGAGAGGAUGAUCAGCCACACUGGGACUGAGACACGGCCCCAGACUCCUACGGGAGGCAGCAGUGGGGAAUUUUGGACAAUGGGCGAAAGCCUGAUCCCAGCCAUGCCGCGUGAGUGAAGAAGGCCUUCGGGUUGUAAAGCUCUUCAGGUGGAAAGAAAGCGGAUGGGCUAAUACCCUGUUCGGAUGACGGUACCACCAGAAGAAGCACCGGCUAACUACGUG
This 474-nucleotide ribosomal RNA is filed under the name uncultured bacterium. RNAcentral describes it as "bacterial SSU rRNA". It matches the Rfam family "Bacterial small subunit ribosomal RNA", at positions 30 to 507 of the family's 1533-position model. The record is from RNAcentral.